UAAUACGUAGGGGGCAAGCGUUGUCCGGAUUUAUUGGGCGUAAAGAGCGUGUAGGCGGCCAGACAGGUCCGUUGUGAAAACUAGAGGCUUAACCUCUAGACGUCGAUGGAAACCGUCUGGCUAGAGUCCGGAAGAGGAGAAUGGAAUUCCUGGUGUAGCGGUGAAAUGCGCAGAUAUCAGGAAGAACACCCGUGGCUAAGGCGGUUCUCUAGUACGGUACUGACGCUGAGACGCGAAAGCGUGGGGAGCGAACAGGAUUAGAUACCCUGGUAGUCCACGCCGUAAACGAUGGGUGCUAGGUGUGGGGGGUGUCGACUCCCCCCGUGCCGAAGCUAACGCAUUAAGCACCCCGCCUGGGGAGUACGGCCGCAAGGCUA
This 377-nucleotide ribosomal RNA is filed under the name uncultured bacterium. RNAcentral describes it as "bacterial SSU rRNA". It matches the Rfam family "Bacterial small subunit ribosomal RNA", at positions 521 to 896 of the family's 1533-position model. The record is from RNAcentral.